Molecule: long non-coding RNA, 738 nt
Filed under: Sus scrofa (pig)
Lineage: Eukaryota; Metazoa; Chordata; Mammalia; Artiodactyla; Suidae
Description: lncRNA (ENSSSCG00035007514.1)
Source: RNAcentral
CACAGAGAGUCUCUGACUCUCCUUGGCCCCGCUCAGCCAGAGGAAAAAGACACUGUAUGCACAGGCCUCAACUGCCACGUGACAAACAGAGAACUGAGCAUCGUGGAAGGAGGUCCCUGGAGAUGAGGCCAUCCAGGCAUCCAGACCCCCAGCCAGGCCACAUCCAUCACACCUCUGCUGGCUUUCCACGGGCAGAAUCCCAGUACCCAGCCUGCUGGCGCCUGCCGGGGCCCAACUUCCAGGGAGUUCUAGCAGAGAGAAGCCUCCAGUACCACCUAUUCUUGACACCUUAGCCUUGGAGAAGGGGGAGGAGUUUGCCUUCCAACACCCUGGCACAGGGGCUGGCAUGGCCUCUACCACCCCAUCUGCUCAGGUUUCCAAGCCCUGGGCCAGACUUGGCUCCUCACAGCUUCAGGAAGGGCUGAAGAGGUCAUCAUAUUACCCACCACUUCUCAGGAGCAGGUUCUGAGUACCAGGCAGCUCUCUGCCACCGUCUCUCCUCUAACCUUCCGAGGACCCAGCAAGGCUGUCGGUAUUGCUGACCCCACUUCACCAUGCGGAAGAGGAGGCUCAGGGAGGCUAAGUGACUUGCCCGGGGUCACAGAGUGGGUAAGUGGCCACCAACAGGAUCUCUGCCCGGAGUCUGACACCGAAGCCGGUGCUUGUAACCACCUGGCCCCCUCAAGUGGGAAGCCAGAGUCCCGUUCUCUUGGCGCGGAGCUUCGGGGACCCGCGCAC